This 497-nucleotide ribosomal RNA is filed under the name uncultured bacterium. RNAcentral's name for it is "partial 16S ribosomal RNA". It matches the Rfam family "Bacterial small subunit ribosomal RNA", at positions 28 to 507 of the family's 1533-position model. The record is from RNAcentral.
GACGAACGCUGGCGGCGUGCCUAAUACAUGCAAGUUGAGCGCUGAAGGUUGGUACUUGUACCAACUGGAUGAGCAGCGAACGGGUGAGUAACGCGUGGGGAAUCUGCCUUUGAGCGGGGGACAACAUUUGGAAACGAAUGCUAAUACCGCAUAAAAACUUUAAACACAAGUUUUAAGUUUGAAAGAUGCAAUUGCACCACUCAAAGAUGAUCCCGCGUUGUAUUAGCUAGUUGGUGAGGUAAAGGCUCACCAAGGCGAUGAUACAUAGCCGACCUGAGAGGGUGAUCGGCCACAUUGGGACUGAGACACGGCCCAAACUCCUACGGGAGGCAGCAGUAGGGAAUCUUCGGCAAUGGACGAAAGUCUGACCGAGCAACGCCGCGUGAGUGAAGAAGGUUUUCGGAUCGUAAAACUCUGUUGGUAGAGAAGAACGUUGGUGGGAGUGGAAAGCUCAUCAAGUGACGGUAACUACCCAGAAAGGGACGGCUAACUACGUG